RNAcentral lists this ribosomal RNA (468 nucleotides) under uncultured bacterium. RNAcentral describes it as "partial 16S ribosomal RNA". It matches the Rfam family "Bacterial small subunit ribosomal RNA", at positions 28 to 507 of the family's 1533-position model. The record is from RNAcentral.
GACGAACGCUGGCGGCGUGCUUAACACAUGCAAGUCGAACGGAAAGGCCCUGCUUUUGUGGGGUGCUCGAGUGGCGAACGGGUGAGUAACACGUGAGUAACCUGCCCUUGACUUUGGGAUAACUUCAGGAAACUGGGGCUAAUACCGGAUAGGAGCUCCUGCUGCAUGGUGGGGGCUGGAAAGUUUCGGCGGUUGGGGAUGGACUCGCGGCUUAUCAGCUUGUUGGUGGGGUAGUGGCUUACCAAGGCUUUGACGGGUAGCCGGCCUGAGAGGGUGACCGGCCACAUUGGGACUGAGAUACGGCCCAGACUCCUACGGGAGGCAGCAGUGGGGAAUAUUGCACAAUGGGCGGAAGCCUGAUGCAGCAACGCCGCGUGCGGGAUGACGGCCUACGGGUUGUAAACCGCUUUCGCCUGUGACGAAGCGUGGGUGACGGUAAUGGGUAAAGAAGCACCGGCUAACUACGUG